GAUGAACGCUGGCGGCGUGCUUAACACAUGCAAGUCGAACGGGACUUGUUAAGUUGAAACUUCGGUCGAUUCUUUUCAAGUCUAGUGGCGGACGGGUGAGUAACGCGUGGGUAACCUGCCUCGCACUGGGGGAUAACAGUUAGAAAUGGCUGCUAAUACCGCAUAAGCGCACAGGACCGCAUGGUCUGGUGUGAAAAACUCCGGUGGUAUAAGAUGGAUCCGCGUCUGAUUAGCUGGUUGGUGGGGUAACGGCCCACCAAGGCGACGAUCAAUAGCCGACCUGAGAGGGUGACCGGCCACAUUGGGACUGAGACACGGCCCAA
Molecule: ribosomal RNA, 323 nt
Filed under: uncultured bacterium
Lineage: Bacteria
Description: bacterial SSU rRNA
Rfam family: Bacterial small subunit ribosomal RNA
Source: RNAcentral